GCCGAUGUAGCUUAGUGGCAAAGCAGCGGUUUCGUAAACCGCGGACGGGUGUCCGAUUCACCCCAUCGGCUCAA
This 74-nucleotide transfer RNA is filed under the name Candidatus Yanofskybacteria bacterium RIFCSPHIGHO2_12_FULL_45_19b. RNAcentral's name for it is "tRNA-Thr". It matches the Rfam family "tRNA". From Rfam's summary of the family: Transfer RNA (tRNA) molecules are approximately 80 nucleotides in length. Their secondary structure includes four short double-helical elements and three loops (D, anti-codon, and T loops). The record is from RNAcentral. RNAcentral also lists the same sequence under 1 other name. Lineage: Bacteria; Candidatus Yanofskyibacteriota.